Molecule: long non-coding RNA, 528 nt
Filed under: Marmota monax (woodchuck)
Lineage: Eukaryota; Metazoa; Chordata; Mammalia; Rodentia; Sciuridae
Source: RNAcentral
AUGAUCCUCCCUGCCACUUUGGCAACAAUAGCAACAUAUUGGGGUUAGGAUCACCUAGAAAGGACAUAAGUGUCCUUAUUAUUAAACCUAGACUUUCAAUUUAUAGUCAGUUAUGACAUCUCACUCUUCUAACAAUACUAUCCUUUUCCUUCUACACACAGAAAAUAAAUUUGGAAAAAUAAUUUGCUCUUUAUUUUUUUCCCUCUAGUGUAUGAGAUUUGAAGAAGGUUGUAGAGAAGUUGGUUUUGUGAGGAAUUUAGACUUCUAAAUGCCAAAAUUUCAUGAUAGCAAAUCUUUAUGAUCUAGAGAAGUAAAUGAAAUCAAAGGGCAUUAUGGAUUUGAUUAUUUUAAAAGAGUAGUACUCCCAGAGACAUUCUGAUAAAAUUUGAAGAUGUAUGCAAGAUUGUGAUAAUAUCCUCAUUUAUGAUAAUCACACACCAGAAAUUACACAAAUGUCCAACAACAGGUGGGGAAUGAACAAACUGUUUAAUACUCAUACAAUAAAACAAUAGCAAUAAAAAAAUCUGA